AUUCUUAGCCACGGUGCACGCACCACGUCACGUAGCAGGGGGAGAGAUAUUCCUUUUCUCCCCUUCCU
RNAcentral lists this small RNA (68 nucleotides) under Vibrio cholerae O1 biovar El Tor str. N16961. Lineage: Bacteria; Pseudomonadati; Pseudomonadota; Gammaproteobacteria; Vibrionales; Vibrionaceae. The record is from RNAcentral.